CCUACGGGACGCAGCAGUGAGGAAUAUUGGUCAAUGGGCGGAAGCCUGAACCAGCCAAGUAGCGUGCGGGAUGAAGGCCCUACGGGUCGUAAACCGCUUUUGCACGGGGAUAACACCCUCCACUUGUGGAGGUCUGCAGGUACCGUGCGAAUAAGGGCCGGCUAAUUCCGUGCCAGCAGCCGCGGUAAUACGGAAGGCCCGAGCGUUAUCCGGAUUCAUUGGGCUUAAAGGGAGCGUAGGCGGGCGUUCAAGUCAGCUGUAAAAUUGCGCGGCUCAACCGCGCCCCGCAGUUGAAACUGGACGCCUUGAGUUCACAACAGGCAGGCGGAAUUCGUGGGGUAGCGGUGAAAUGCAUAGAUAUCACGAGGAACCCCGAUUGCGAAGGCAGCCUGCCGGGGUGCGACUGACGCUGAGGCUCGAAGGUGCGGGUAUCAAACAGGAGUAGAUACCCCUGUAGUC
This 459-nucleotide ribosomal RNA is filed under the name uncultured bacterium. RNAcentral describes it as "partial 16S ribosomal RNA". It matches the Rfam family "Bacterial small subunit ribosomal RNA", at positions 338 to 795 of the family's 1533-position model. The record is from RNAcentral.